RNAcentral lists this ribosomal RNA (407 nucleotides) under uncultured bacterium. RNAcentral's name for it is "bacterial SSU rRNA". It matches the Rfam family "Bacterial small subunit ribosomal RNA", at positions 28 to 425 of the family's 1533-position model. The record is from RNAcentral.
GAUGAACGCUAGCGGCAGGCUUAAUACAUGCAAGUCGUGGGGCAGCAUGAGUAGCAAUACUUGAUGGCGACCGGCAAACGGGUGAGGAACACGUACACAACCUUCCUUCAAGCGGGGAAUAGCCCAGAGAAAUUUGGAUUAAAUACCCCAUAAAUAUAUUUGAAUAAGGCAAUCUUAUUAAUAUUAAAGCUUCGGCACUUGAUGAUGGGUGUGCGGCUGAUUAGAUAGUUGGCGGGGUAACGGCCCACCAAGUCUACGAUCAGUAGCUGAUGUGAGAGCAUGAUCAGCCACACGGGCACUGAGACACGGGCCCGACUCCUACGGGAGGCAGCAGUAAGGAAUAUUGGACAAUGGACGAAAGUCUGAUCCAGCCAUGCCGCGUGAAGGAUUAAAGGUCCUCUGGAUUG